AAGCAUCUGCUGAUAGGCCAGGAGCAACUCCUUUUGUUCCCUGGCUUGCAUUAAGAUGCAAUAGCAACUUCCUCGCGCUUUCUGCCUGCCUUAUAACGUGGCAGCUCAGAUUGAAUAGGGGAGAACAUGU
Small nucleolar RNA from Hemicordylus capensis (graceful crag lizard), 130 nucleotides. RefSeq annotates it as small nucleolar RNA SNORA31. NCBI's taxonomy places the organism in Eukaryota, Metazoa, Chordata, Lepidosauria, Squamata, Cordylidae. The record is from RefSeq and is a predicted model, not a curated record. The transcript has a single exon.